AUGUGGCCAUGGUGUUCGGCAUACGGUCUGGCAACAGAGAUGUGCUCGGUCCGGAUGGUAACAUCAAUGAUGCGGCAAGCGCGGCGGUCCUUUCUAUGUGAAGAGAAUGCACAAGCAACCCGCCAUGUCACCACUGCACGCCAUAACAUACACACCGACAUGAUCAACUUCACAGACAAGCUGAUGGCAACACUUUGCAAGUUUGCAUCCAAUUGCACAUGCUGUGUUGCGAGGGGUUACUCUGAUUGUCCCCUGAAAAUGAUAGAUGACAACGCAACAUCUACCGAACCUCAGGAGCUAGAGGACCCAGCUAAUCUACCCAGUUCUACUCUACAAGCCAUUGUACCGAACCCCAGUUUCCAGCAAAAUCCAUGGCGUGAGGCUUGA
This 387-nucleotide ribosomal RNA is filed under the name Triticum aestivum (bread wheat). RNAcentral's name for it is "partial small subunit ribosomal RNA". Lineage: Eukaryota; Viridiplantae; Streptophyta; Magnoliopsida; Poales; Poaceae. The record is from RNAcentral.